Molecule: long non-coding RNA, 717 nt
Organism: Raphanus sativus (radish)
Lineage: Eukaryota; Viridiplantae; Streptophyta; Magnoliopsida; Brassicales; Brassicaceae
Exons: 3
Source: RefSeq, a predicted model, not a curated record
CCCCUUGUUAGCUGCCUCUUAAUUCUCUCGUUAUCUCUUUUGAAACAUGCCAGUGGUGGGCAAGGAGAAGGUAACAUGGAUGAAGUUGACGACGAAACCUCUUGAUAAAGAGGGAACUUCAGUAAAGUCAAGAGGGCUCUUUGUAGCCUGGCUCAAGUACAAGACCAAUUGUUCGACGAGAAGUCAAAAGAAACAGUUACGAUCAAAGUGGUUUGUUGCAGUCCUGAAAAGUUGCGGAGAAACUCUGCCAUAAAGGAGGUGGAGCUAUCAAGAAGAUCGAGUAUGGUAUCGAAACCCUAUGGCACCAAAGGCUAAGGCACCUGAAAAGCCUAAGAAGGUGACAAACCUAAAGACGGUGACAACCUAAAGAAGGUGACAAACCUAAAGACGGUGACAAACCUAAAGAAGGUGACAACCUAAAGACAGUGACAAGCGAAAACCAGCUCCAGCUCCAGCAGCUUCGAGUUCUCAAACAAUGAUCUAUAAUUCAGAGCCGGGUCACCCGAUGUAUGGUGGGUCUUACAACGGCUAUUACCAAGAAUAUGGGUAUUACUCGGAGCCGCAGUGGGGUCAGCCGAUGCAUAAUGGAUAUGUUUCAAGAUCCAUUCCUGAUAGCUAUGGAGGUGGAGGUUGGAACGGAGAUGAGAGUGGAUCAUAUUGCACUAUUAUGUGAAGUCGUGAUAUCACACACGUUACCUAUCUCACUAGUUUAUUUAA